Molecule: transfer RNA, 62 nt
Filed under: Lepidurus apus apus
Lineage: Eukaryota; Metazoa; Arthropoda; Branchiopoda; Notostraca; Triopsidae
Description: tRNA-His
Source: RNAcentral
AUUUUCAUAGUUUAAGUAGAAUAGAGGUUUGUGGUGCCUCAGGUGUGUUAUCACUGGAGAUC